This 73-nucleotide transfer RNA is filed under the name Mucilaginibacter paludis DSM 18603. It matches the Rfam family "tRNA". From Rfam's summary of the family: Transfer RNA (tRNA) molecules are approximately 80 nucleotides in length. Their secondary structure includes four short double-helical elements and three loops (D, anti-codon, and T loops). Further hydrogen bonds mediate the characteristic L-shaped molecular structure. tRNAs have two regions of fundamental functional importance: the anti-codon, which is responsible for specific mRNA codon recognition, and the 3' end, to which the tRNAs corresponding amino acid is attached (by aminoacyl-tRNA synthetases). tRNAs cope with the degeneracy of the genetic code in two manners: having more than one tRNA (with a specific anti-codon) for a particular amino acid; and 'wobble' base-pairing, i.e. permitting non-standard base-pairing at the 3rd anti-codon position. Lineage: Bacteria; Pseudomonadati; Bacteroidota; Sphingobacteriia; Sphingobacteriales; Sphingobacteriaceae. The record is from Rfam by way of RNAcentral.
GGUACCAUAGCUCAGAUGGUAGAGCAAAGGACUGAAAAUCCUUGUGUCGCUGGUUCGAUCCCAGCUGGUACCA